AGACCAGGUGCAGGACAGUGCUGGGGAGACCUGAUGCUUCUGAUUUAAUGAGGCUUCAUGGGUGUGGCUCCCUCCUGCCUCCUAACACAGCCACGCCAACCCAGGUUUAAAGACCCGGACUUCUGGAGUUCAGGCAGAAUGGGAUCGGCGGUGUCUCUGGAGCGCUGGGAUGCAUGUUCGAUCCCUGGCCCAGAACGGUGGGUUAAGGAUCCUGAAGCUGUGGCGUAGGUCACAACUGUGGCUCGGAUCUGAUCUGGGGAAAUCCCUCUGCCUCGGAGUGACCCAAAGAAGAGAGAAAACGGGUACUAGAAAUACCAGCUGCACCAGAAGAGGAGUUCUUACUGAGGAUCUACUUUCCUAGAAAAAUGAUCCUUUGUCACCUUAAAGAAGUGGUGUUGCCUCUGCACAUCAUGACAGGCUUUCUGAGCUGAGUCAAGCUGUGAUCACUUUCUACCCCUCGUUCGCACAGAAUCGUGGCUGGGGCAGGAGCUGGGACAGGUGAAAGGAAGCUGUUUGAAGAGAGAGGCCUCAACUCAUUUAAAAUAAUAAAAUGACUGCCUUCCUUCGGAAUCGGGCAGGACUCUGGCCUAAAGAGGUUUGGGGAUAAUGAUCUUGCCUGAAUACGUGCAGAGUUGAUGCUCCAAAAUGGCCACGGCAUCCAGUCCUGUGUCACGGCUAAACUGCACCCAACCUUGACAACCCCCGUCACGGGCAGACGGGCCUUUCCAUAAACCGUUAGCUCUGCCCCAGGCCCUGUGGCCUAAAAAGCAUCGUUUGUUCUUUAAAGUACUGACACUCGGCCAUCUUUUCUCUCUCCAAUUCCACAGUCACAGGUCGGUCUGGGGACAGGCUGUCCAUUGUUCUCUCCUUGUUCCACUGGUGGGCUCUAUCCUAUGGCAAGGUUUUUUUAAUUGACUCUCAGAUGAUUGUAAGGGUAGCUCAUGAAUCAGAACCCAGGGCUCUCCAUGUGACCGCCGGCUCUCACAGAUCUGUAUAAACUUCUAAAUAGUUUUGGAGAAAGGCAAGCGCCUGUGUGUGUGUGUGUGUGUGUGUGUGUAUGUGUGUGUGUGUGUACUAAUUCGAGCAUCCCCCCAGAGACCUUGUCUUCCCCAGACCCGCAGCAGCCUCAGGCUGUGUUUCCCAUUAAGGAUUUAUUUUCUUCUAUGAAGGGAUCUUUCUGCCCCCAAAGAGGCUCAGUUCCCACUUAGUGCCUGUUAGAAGGUCCCGGAGAUUAGAUUGAGCAGAGGGUCUCAGGAUACAAGUUUCAAUGCACAUUAUUCAUAGAGAAAAUAAGAUCAGGGCUGAGAAAAUCCAGUUUUGUGAUGGGUGAGACAGGGGCCAGCUGUCAUUCUUGCUGGAUCCUGGGCGAUUCAUUAAACCUGUGUCUUCACCCCUCCCAAGGAUAAAGGCACGUGUUCCUGCCCACUUCCGACCCGUUAGAGCCUUGCGUGGGCAAUGAGAUAAUGCUUUGGGAGUUCGUCUGCAUACCUGCCUUAAGGAUGUGAUAAUUAUUGGUGUUACCAUGGUUCAGCACCUAGCAAUGGCCCUCUGUGAGAUGGGCUUUCUCCCGGCCGACAGGUAAAUAAGAACAGAUCUGGCUUGUUCCAGACGCGCAGUCACAGCCUGUUGAUAAAUAGGGAUCCAGAAGUCACAUGCGGGCUGGCCUCAGGUAAACCGCGGCUCACACUCUAUUUUUAGUUAAUAGGGCUCUGCUGAAGUAUGUCUCCAAGUCCCAGCCUUCUCACCCGUGGUUCAUCGGGGUCACAGGCAAUAGCUGUGCAGAAUAAAGAGGCCGUCUGAGACCGGCUCAAGCAUGAGAGCAAGAGCGAGCCCCAUGUGGCAGGGCGGGGGGAGGGAGAGGGGCAAUGGCCCUACCAAUCCCAAAGUCACUGUCAUCCAACGGUCCCCCCUCCUCUACCAGCCUUCUCACCAGGAGGCCUCACGGGCUGCUCAGAGCUCACCCCACUUUCCGAUGAGCACCCCGCGCCUCCACCCCCGUGCACACUGGGUUCGAGACAGUUAUGGCAACCUCACUUCCCACCGCCAAGUGUCUCCAUUUGGUUGUUUCAUCCUUCCUGCCAGAGCCCAGCCCCUGCCUGUUGACUCUGAUACAUCUUUCACAGAAUCUCAUUUUCAUCCCUGUCACUGGAGUCCAAAUGCCAACAUACUGAUUAUUCUCGCUGUGACAAAUACAGUCUCUCUUCAGCAGUCUCUUCAGAUCUCGGUCUCCUGGGAAAACAGCUCCCUCCCCUCCGAGCCUUUUCCUAAUAUUGCCCACUCAGCUCAGCCCCAGCCCCUCUGAACCCUUCGCAACUUCAUCCCACCUACCCUUCCUAUCUGUUCUGCGAUGGCAUCUUUUCCCAGCGUCUGCUUCACCUGUCUCCCGCCUGUCUGUGUGACUCCAGGCUGCCCCUUGGUCAGCAGGACAGAGCCUUCUGCCUCCGUGGGCUGCUGCCAAGCUUAAUUUUAGCACUCUGCAAAUGACAGUAAGUCCUGCAAAGCAGAUCAAAGCAUUGGCCCCUGCAUGCUGGCCAGCAUGGCGAAUGAUUCUCCGGGACAGAGCAAACAACCUCGAAAAUUUCUUAUGAGUCAGCUGUGAGGCGCUCAGGCAAGCAAGAUCACAGGACAAGUUCACACGUUCACAUGGAAUGACCAGGAGGCUCAUUUGCCACAGAGGUCAAGCUCGUAGGCUGGCAGCCCCAUCAGCCCGGCAGAAGGACAGGCUUCCGCAGAGAUGUCUCUUGGGAGAAUGUCACACUUAGGCCAUCUCCAGACAGCCUCGCUUGGGCGAAGGUGGCCUUUGUCACGGGAAUAAAUCUGAGGUCCUUUUGAUGAAGAAGCCCAGAAUGCCAUCUUCCACCACAGGAAUGUCUUUCUCAAGCUUUUGGAUGGAAAAUAGUCAGCGGAAGGCUAUUGGUUUUGGAUGAAUGAUCCAAACUAUCAAUAAAAAAUUAUCAAAUAGAUGAUCAGCCUUAUACCUCUUUCUGUGUUAUACAGGUCUGCUCAACUCUUCAGCAAGGACAUGAUUCCUGAUCUAUAGAAUCUAGUUAUUGGCCUAUGUCUCUAUUACAAAAGCGUUGAGAAGACCUCACCUCGCCUCUUCCCGAGAGUAUUUGGGAGAGUAAUGUGUGCAUGCAGUUCUCUCUGAAUAUCUCUGGUAUCCCAGGAAUUUAAACGUUAGGGAUGUUGACAGGGGCUGACAUUUCCCAUACGAUGGUCUGGAAGGAGCUUGGUCCUGUGAAACAGACAGGCUGAUCUUGAAAUAAAGUUCACGGAGUCUGCUGAAGGGAAAAAUCUCAGAAGCCAAGUAUUAUCAGGUCACGGGAAUAACUGCAAGGCCCACCAUGAGCAGUCAAAAAAUCGGAGGGCUUGCUCUAAAGGUAAAACACAUUUCCCUUCACAAAAUGAGUAAAAUUCACAGAAUAAAA
This 3428-nucleotide long non-coding RNA is filed under the name Sus scrofa (pig). RNAcentral describes it as "lncRNA (ENSSSCG00040043271.1)". The record is from RNAcentral. Lineage: Eukaryota; Metazoa; Chordata; Mammalia; Artiodactyla; Suidae.